RNAcentral lists this ribosomal RNA (384 nucleotides) under uncultured Alphaproteobacteria bacterium. RNAcentral describes it as "bacterial SSU rRNA". It matches the Rfam family "Bacterial small subunit ribosomal RNA", at positions 9 to 419 of the family's 1533-position model. The record is from RNAcentral. Lineage: Bacteria; Pseudomonadati; Pseudomonadota; Alphaproteobacteria.
GAGUUUGAUCUUGGCUCAGAACGAACGCUGGCGGCAGGCUUAACACAUGCAAGUCGAACGCGUGUAGCAAUACACGAGUGGCGCACGGGUGAGUAACACGUGGAUAUCUGCCUUUUGGUUCGGAAUAACCCUGGGAAACUAGGGCUAAUACCGAAUGGUUCCUACGGGAUAAAGAUUUAUCGCCAAAAGAUGAGUCCGCGUCCGAUUAGCUAGUUGGCGGGGUAAUGGCCCACCAAGGCGACGAUCGGUAGCUGGUCUGAGAGGACGAUCAGCCACACUGGGACUGAGACACGGCCCAGACUCCUACGGGAGGCAGCAGUGGGGAAUAUUGGACAAUGGGGGCAACCCUGAUCCAGCCAUGCCGCGUGAGUGAUGAAGGCCUUC